This 497-nucleotide ribosomal RNA is filed under the name uncultured bacterium. Its description in RNAcentral is "partial 16S ribosomal RNA". It matches the Rfam family "Bacterial small subunit ribosomal RNA", at positions 28 to 507 of the family's 1533-position model. The record is from RNAcentral.
GACGAACGCUGGCGGCGUGCCUAAUACAUGCAAGUUGAGCGCUGAAGGUUGGUACUUGUACCAACUGGAUGAGCAGCGAACGGGUGAGUAACGCGUGGGGAAUCUGCCUUUGAGCGGGGGACAACAUUUGGAAACGAAUGCUAAUACCGCAUAAAAACUUUAAACACAAGUUUUAAGUUUGAAAGAUGCAAUUGCAUCACUCAAAGAUGAUCCCGCGUUGUAUUAGCUAGUUGGUGAGGUAAAGGCUCACCAAGGCGAUGAUACAUAGCCGACCUGAGAGGGUGAUCGGCCACCUUGGGACUGAGACACGGCCCAAACUCCUACGGGAGGCAGCAGUAGGGAAUCUUCGGCAAUGGACGAAAGUCUGACCGAGCAACGCCGCGUGAGUGAAGGAGGUUUUCGGAUCGUAAAACUCUGUUGGUAGAGAAGAACGUUGGUGAGAGUGGAAAGCUCAUCAAGUGACGGUAACUACCCAGAAAGGGUCGGCUAACUACGUG